This 156-nucleotide unclassified non-coding RNA is filed under the name uncultured fungus. RNAcentral describes it as "sequence contains ITS1". Lineage: Eukaryota; Fungi. The record is from RNAcentral.
GCAUCCCGGUUUUCAGUUUUGGUUUUUGGCGGAUCGCAAGGUGCACAUGCAAUCAAUGAAGCUCUGGUUGAGGCGCUAGCGCACCUCGAAGAAUAUCGCGGAGUGCUGAGGAUUACGCAUCAAACCGGAGAAACCGACUUCGAGCUAGUGCGCAAA